Long non-coding RNA from Rattus norvegicus (Norway rat), 677 nucleotides. Ensembl lists it as uncharacterized. The record is from Ensembl. NCBI's taxonomy places the organism in Eukaryota, Metazoa, Chordata, Mammalia, Rodentia, Muridae.
AGUGCGCAGGCGCGUCCUCUUAGACGCAGUCCGGACUACAAGCCCCAACAGGCUUUGCGCGCCAGCCUGCUAAAUCAUUUUUCCUCACCUCCAGGCUGCCAAGAAAGAACAAUCCCUUGCUACAGCAAGAAGUCUGAAGGAGCUGGCUAUAGAGGGCUCAAGACGUCUGUCCUAAACCAGAAUCUGCAUUUCAAAAAGGAAGAGGAAGAGGAAGAAGAGACCGCAGCAACAACAGUAACAACAUCAUCAUCAUCAACAACAACAACGAAAGUAGACUAAAGUCACACCUAAAAAUUCUUCAGGCAAAGAUAGAAUCAAGCAACAAGUAUCCAGGUCACUUUACGUAAGCUGGGAAGGUGUCAGACAGAAACACUCCCAGGAAUCUCAGAAGUCAUCCUGAUUCACACAGACUUCUCCGAGGGUGGCACAGGGAGCAACGAGAAGAGAAAUAUGCAAACAACAAGACUUUCUGCUCAGUCUUUACGAACUCUCUAGACUUGGAUGGAGAAGAGACAGGUCCCACAAGGUCAACUGGUCUAGUCAGCUGCAUUCGGCCUGUUUCUUCACCUGUGAAGCAGUACUCGUGGUAGUGUCUUACCUCUUAGGCUCACGGAAAAAUGAACCAAGAAGGCACUGCCCAGGGCAGGGUCAAGGGUGGUGCAAUAAAAAUGCUUGCU